RNAcentral lists this long non-coding RNA (354 nucleotides) under Androctonus crassicauda. The record is from RNAcentral. Lineage: Eukaryota; Metazoa; Arthropoda; Arachnida; Scorpiones; Buthidae.
CAUUUGUUUCCAUUAAUUGAAACUGGUUACUACAUAAAAAAAACACCAAUUAAGAACAAAAUAUAUUUUCACAAAUGACUGUGCAGGUAUACACUUUAAUAAAACAUACAUAUAUCAGAAAAUUGACAGUAUUUAUUCUGGAGACUUUCUAUCAUCAUCAGAAUCUGCAGGACAUUCUGGAGAUUGAUCUUGUUUGUCACUUAAUCUAUUCUGAUCGUUUUCUUGGGGAGAAUGGGAACGAGAACGGGAUCGUGAUCUGCAAACAAAAACAAGAUGUUAUUAAAUAAAAAUAUAUUAAAUGAGUAUACGUACUUUCUGACAAGUUUUUCACAAAAAAAUUGAUCAAGUGUCUCC